This 2366-nucleotide ribosomal RNA is filed under the name Escherichia coli. RNAcentral describes it as "bacterial LSU rRNA". It matches the Rfam family "Bacterial large subunit ribosomal RNA", at positions 595 to 2925 of the family's 2925-position model. The record is from RNAcentral. Lineage: Bacteria; Pseudomonadati; Pseudomonadota; Gammaproteobacteria; Enterobacterales; Enterobacteriaceae.
GUGACUGCGUACCUUUUGUAUAAUGGGUCAGCGACUUAUAUUCUGUAGCAAGGUUAACCGAAUAGGGGAGCCGAAGGGAAACCGAGUCUUAACUGGGCGUUAAGUUGCAGGGUAUAGACCCGAAACCCGGUGAUCUAGCCAUGGGCAGGUUGAAGGUUGGGUAACACUAACUGGAGGACCGAACCGACUAAUGUUGAAAAAUUAGCGGAUGACUUGUGGCUGGGGGUGAAAGGCCAAUCAAACCGGGAGAUAGCUGGUUCUCCCCGAAAGCUAUUUAGGUAGCGCCUCGUGAAUUCAUCUCCGGGGGUAGAGCACUGUUUCGGCAAGGGGGUCAUCCCGACUUACCAACCCGAUGCAAACUGCGAAUACCGGAGAAUGUUAUCACGGGAGACACACGGCGGGUGCUAACGUCCGUCGUGAAGAGGGAAACAACCCAGACCGCCAGCUAAGGUCCCAAAGUCAUGGUUAAGUGGGAAACGAUGUGGGAAGGCCCAGACAGCCAGGAUGUUGGCUUAGAAGCAGCCAUCAUUUAAAGAAAGCGUAAUAGCUCACUGGUCGAGUCGGCCUGCGCGGAAGAUGUAACGGGGCUAAACCAUGCACCGAAGCUGCGGCAGCGACGCUUAUGCGUUGUUGGGUAGGGGAGCGUUCUGUAAGCCUGUGAAGGUGUGCUGUGAGGCAUGCUGGAGGUAUCAGAAGUGCGAAUGCUGACAUAAGUAACGAUAAAGCGGGUGAAAAGCCCGCUCGCCGGAAGACCAAGGGUUCCUGUCCAACGUUAAUCGGGGCAGGGUGAGUCGACCCCUAAGGCGAGGCCGAAAGGCGUAGUCGAUGGGAAACAGGUUAAUAUUCCUGUACUUGGUGUUACUGCGAAGGGGGGACGGAGAAGGCUAUGUUGGCCGGGCGACGGUUGUCCCGGUUUAAGCGKGUAGGCUGGUUUUCCAGGCAAAUCCGGAAAAUCAAGGCUGAGGCGUGAUGACGAGGCACUACGGUGCUGAAGCAACAAAUGCCCUGCUUCCAGGAAAAGCCUCUAAGCAUCAGGUAACAUCAAAUCGUACCCCAAACCGACACAGGUGGUCAGGUAGAGAAUACCAAGGCGCUUGAGAGAACUCGGGUGAAGGAACUAGGCAAAAUGGUGCCGUAACUUCGGGAGAAGGCACGCUGAUAUGUAGGUGARGUCCCUCGCGGAUGGAGCUGAAAUCAGUCGAAGAUACCAGCUGGCUGCAACUGUUUAUUAAAAACACAGCACUGUGCAAACACGAAAGUGGACGUAUACGGUGUGACGCCUGCCCGGUGCCGGAAGGUUAAUUGAUGGGGUUAGCGGUAACGCGAAGCUCUUGAUCGAAGCCCCGGUAAACGGCGGCCGUAACUAUAACGGUCCUAAGGUAGCGAAAUUCCUUGUCGGGUAAGUUCCGACCUGCACGAAUGGCGUAAUGAUGGCCAGGCUGUCUCCACCCGAGACUCAGUGAAAUUGAACUCGCUGUGAAGAUGCAGUGUACCCGCGGCAAGACGGAAAGACCCCGUGAACCUUUACUAUAGCUUGACACUGAACAUUGAGCCUUGAUGUGUAGGAUAGGUGGGAGGCUUUGAAGUGUGGACGCCAGUCUGCAUGGAGCCGGCCUUGAAAUACCACCCUUUAAUGUUUGAUGUUCUAACGUUGGCCCCUGAUCGGGGUUGCGGACAGUGUCUGGUGGGUAGUUUGACUGGGGCGGUCUCCUCCUAAAGAGUAACGGAGGAGCACGAAGGUUGGCUAAUCCUGGUCGGACAUCAGGAGGUUAGUGCAAUGGCAUAAGCCAGCUUGACUGCGAGCGUGACGGCGCGAGCAGGUGCGAAAGCAGGUCAUAGUGAUCCGGUGGUUCUGAAUGGAAGGGCCAUCGCUCAACGGAUAAAAGGUACUCCGGGGAUAACAGGCUGAUACCGCCCAAGAGUUCAUAUCGACGGCGGUGUUUGGCACCUCGAUGUCGGCUCAUCACAUCCUGGGGCUGAAGUAGGUCCCAAGGGUAUGGCUGUUCGCCAUUUAAAGUGGUACGCGAGCUGGGUUUAGAACGUCGUGAGACAGUUCGGUCCCUAUCUGCCGUGGGCGCUGGAGAACUGAGGGGGGCUGCUCCUAGUACGAGAGGACCGGAGUGGACGCAUCACUGGUGUUCGGGUUGUCAUGCCAAUGGCACUGCCCGGUAGCUAAAUGCGGAAGAGAUAAGUGCUGAAAGCAUCUAAGCACGAAACUUGCCCCGAGAUGAGUUCUCCCUGACUCCUUGAGAGUCCUGAAGGAACGUUGAAGACGACGACGUUGAUAGGCCGGGUGUGUAAGCGCAGCGAUGCGUUGAGCUAACCGGUACUAAUGAACCGUGAGGCUUAACCUUACAACGCCGAAG